Molecule: long non-coding RNA, 1242 nt
Organism: Ficedula albicollis (Collared flycatcher)
Lineage: Eukaryota; Metazoa; Chordata; Aves; Passeriformes; Muscicapidae
Source: Ensembl
CCGGUCCCAAGGGCGGGGGGAGCAGCGGUGUCCCCGCUUGGGGACAGUCCCCCCCCCCCCCCCCCCCCCCCCCCCCCCCCCCCCCCCCCCCCCCCCCCCCCCCCCCCCCCCCCCCCCCCCCCCCCCCCCCCCGCCGCCCCCGCGCGCGCCGCGCUGCCAGGAGCCUCCUCAUCCCCCGCACGUUCGGUCCCCGAUGGGAUUUUUAUCCUCCCCCGAACCCCCAGCCGCCUUCCCGGGGCUGGGGAGAUGAGACGGAGGGGGCGAGGGACGGGAAUGGGGGUCCUUGAACCUGCCCUGACACCCGGACCCCGUCCCAGCCCGGCGGAGGGGACCCGAGCUGGGGACCUGCCUUGGGGACACGGAGGGGACCUGCCUUGGGGACAGGGAGGGGGACCUGCCUUGGGGACAUGAAGGGGUUUUGGUUUUGGGGACAUGAAGGGGAGUGGUGCUUGGGGACAUGGAGGGGACCUGGUUUGGGGACACGGAGGACACGGCCACACCGGUGCGGCUCUCCCGUGGCCGGGGUCGCGCUGGUGCUGCCGUUUGUGGGUGUCAUUCCCAGCUGUCCCCCCCCUGCCCAGGGUCACUGUCACCUGUCCCCAUCCCUCGAGGCUGAGACCCCUCAAAACUCGCGUCACAGAGCCAGAAGCGUUUUUUUUUGGGGGGGACAGGACUGACCCCAGGGCUGCCACUGACCCCUCCCUGUGUCCCCCCAGGACGCCCCCCCGGGAGCGAGGGACGGCGGGCUGGGGACACAUCCCGCAUCAGCCAGGACCUGGGGGGCGGCAGCCUGGCCAUCGACACCCUGCCGGCCAACGAGACCCGCAUUGUCGAGGACAAUCACAGCUACUACGUGUCGCGGGUCUACGGCCCCGGGGAGGCUCAGCUCCGGGGGCUCUGGGUGGAGCUGGCAGCGGCCAACAGGAGCCACGUGAGGAUCCACGGGAUCCUGUCCAACACGCACCGGCAGGCCUCGGUGAGCCUGGGCCUGGGCCGGGUCCCUGGGACACACCUGGGGGGUGUCGGGGGUUGGGGAGGGUUUGUGGGACAUCCCUGUUCCUCCAGCGGUGAAGGAACCUGCAGGAUCCCUCAUCCCAUCCCAUCCCUGUAUCCCAUCCCAUCCCUGUAUCCCAUCCCAUCCCUGUAUCCCAUCCCCCCCCCCCCCCCCCCCCCCCCCCCCCCCCCCCCCCCCCCCCCCCCCCCCCCCCCCCCCCCCCCCCCCCCCCCCCCCCCCCCCCCCCC